RNAcentral lists this ribosomal RNA (446 nucleotides) under uncultured bacterium. RNAcentral's name for it is "partial 16S ribosomal RNA". It matches the Rfam family "Bacterial small subunit ribosomal RNA", at positions 338 to 795 of the family's 1533-position model. The record is from RNAcentral.
CCUACGGGUGGCUGCAGUCGAGAAUUAUUCACAAUGGGGGAAACCCUGAUGGUGCGACGCCGCGUGGGGGAAUGAAGGUCUUCGGAUUGUAAACCCCUGUCAUGUGGGAGCAAAUUAACAAGAUAGUACCACAAGAGGAAGAGACGGCUAACUCUGUGACAGCAGCCGCGUUAAUACAGAGGUCUCACGCGUUGUUCGGAAUCACUGGGCGUAAGGCGUGCGUAGGCUGUUUCGUAAGUCGUGUGUGAAAUGGGCGGGCUCAACCCGCGGACGGCACAUGAUACUGCGAGACUAGAGUAAUGGAGGGGGAACCGGAAUUCUCGGGGUAGCAGUGAAAUGCGUAGAUAUCGAGAGGAACACUCGUGGCGAAGGCGGGUUCCUGGACAUUAACUGACGCUGAGGCACGAAGGCCAGGGGAGCGAAAGGGAUUAGAUACCCGAGUAGUC